CUGCCUGGUAGUGGGGGAUAACGUCCGGAAACGGGCGCUAAUACCGCGUACGUCCUACGGGAGAAAGCAGGGGAUCUUCGGACCUUGCGCUAUCAGAUGAGCCCAGGUCGGAUUAGCUAGUAGGUGAGGUAAUGGCUCACCUAGGCGACGAUCCGUAACUGGUCUGAGAGGAUGAUCAGUCACACUGGAACUGAGACACGGUCCAGACUCCUACGGGAGGCAGCAGUGGGGAAUAUUGGACAAUGGGGGCAACCCUGAUCCAGCCAUGCCGCGUGUGUGAAGAAGGUCUUCGGAUUGUAAAGCACUUUAAGUUGGGAGGAAGGGCUUUAGGUUAAUACCCUGAAGUUUUGACGUUACCAACAGAAUAAGCACCGGCUAACUCUGUGCCAGCAGCCGCGGUAAUACAGAGGGUGCAAGCGUUAAUCGGAAUUACUGGGCGUAAAGCGCGCGUAGGUGGUUCAGUAAGAUGGG
RNAcentral lists this ribosomal RNA (471 nucleotides) under Pseudomonas sp. RNAcentral's name for it is "bacterial SSU rRNA". It matches the Rfam family "Bacterial small subunit ribosomal RNA", at positions 126 to 592 of the family's 1533-position model. The record is from RNAcentral. Lineage: Bacteria; Pseudomonadati; Pseudomonadota; Gammaproteobacteria; Pseudomonadales; Pseudomonadaceae.